This is a non-coding RNA of Ceratotherium simum simum (southern white rhinoceros), 963 nucleotides long. Lineage: Eukaryota; Metazoa; Chordata; Mammalia; Perissodactyla; Rhinocerotidae. The record is from RefSeq and is a predicted model, not a curated record.
AUUUGUGUCCCCCAUUAGAAUGUAAGCUCCAAAAGUCAGGAAUUUUGUCAAUGUUAUUAUUUUGUACACUGAUAUAACUGAACAUCUACAAUAGUGCCCAACUCAGUUGAUGCUCAGUAAAUACUUGUUGAGUGAAUGAAGACAAGAGAGAAUAGUUCCAGAGCAGAGGUCUAGAGCUUGGCUUUAGAGAGAGAAGGAGCACCUCUUAUUGGUAAUAGGGAGGAAGGAGGAAUAGAUGAGAGCAGAUCUAAGUAGCUUUUUGAUUUGGUAUUGGGAGAUUGAGAGAGUUUCUUUUCAAUAGAAUGUGUGAUUGUUAGUUUUAUGUAUCAACUUGGCUAGGCUACAGUACCCAGUAAUUUAAUCAGAUGCUAAACAGGAGUUGCUCUGAAGGUAUUUUAUAGAUGUAGUUAACAUCUACAAUUAGUUGACUUUAAGUAACAGAAAUGGCCCUCAAUAAUGUUAGUAGGCUUCAUCCAAUCAGUUGAAGGCCUUAAGAGCACAAACUGAGAUUUCCCAGAGAAGAAAUUCUGCCUCAAGACUGCACGAUAACCCUGCCUGAGUCUCCAGCAUGCCGACCUACCCCAUGGAUUUUGGACUCGUCAGCCCCCACAAUUGUGUGAAGUUAUCAUUGGAGAAUAAAGCAGAACAAAAUGGAAGAUGAGAGAGUGCAGAAGGUUUGAAAUAGUCUUUGCACAGAAUGGAAGAAUGAACUAACGAAAAAAACAGAAUGAGGUUUUUAGGCAUGUUUAGGGCUCAGUAGAGGUUACUGAAUAAUUCCCUUCUGUCCUUGUCUGUCUAGAAAACCGUUGUGUUAAGGCCGUAAACUUUAAGGCCUCCUGUGACCUGUGACUCCUUUGCUCUUUCCAGAAAGGGUUGCCCCUGCCCUUAUUUGUUUCCUCACUGAACCCUGUUGUGUCUUGUUCACCAUUAUGUCACCAGCACUUGGUAGAGUGCCAUGAACAA